RNAcentral lists this ribosomal RNA (475 nucleotides) under uncultured organism. Its description in RNAcentral is "partial 16S ribosomal RNA". It matches the Rfam family "Bacterial small subunit ribosomal RNA", at positions 331 to 797 of the family's 1533-position model. The record is from RNAcentral.
GUACACUCCUGCGGGAGGCAGCAGUGGGGAAUAUUGCACAAUGGGCGCAAGCCUGAUGCAGCCAUGCCGCGUGUAUGAAGAAGGCCUUCGGGUUGUAAAGUACUUUCAGCGGGGAGGAAGGCGAUAAGGUUAAUAACCUUGUCGAUUGACGUUACCCGCAGAAGAAGCACCGGCUAACUCCGUGCCAGCAGCCGCGGUAAUACGGAGGGUGCAAGCGUUAAUCGGAAUUACUGGGCGUAAAGCGCACGCAGGCGGUCUGUCAAGUCGGAUGUGAAAUCCCCAGGCUCAACCUGGGAACUGCAUUCGAAACUGGCAGGCUAGAGUCUUGUAGAGGGGGGUAGAAUUCCAGGUGUAGCGGUGAAAUGCGUAGAGAUCUGGAGGAAUACCGGUGGCGAAGGCGGCCCCCUGGACAAAGACUGACGCUCAGGUGCGAAAGCGUGGGGAGCAAACAGGAUUAGAAACCCGGGUAGUCCCA